CGGGGGGCCGGGGCGGCCGCGGGAAACCGAGGAAAGUCCGGACUCCACGAAGCGACGGUGCCGGGUAACGCCCGGGCGGGGCAACCCGACGGAAAGCGCCACAGAGAACAGUCCGCCCUCGCAUGCGGGGGCAAGGGUGAAACGGUGGGGUAAGAGCCCACCGGGGGGACGGCAACGUCCCCCGCAUGGCAAGCCCCACCGGGAGCAAUGCCGAAUAGGGACCGCGGAUCGGGUGCUUCGCCCGGCGGUCCGGGUUGGCAGCUUCAGGCCCGCCGCGAGGCGGUGCCGAGAUGAAUGGUCGCCGCCCCGAAGGGGGAACAGAAUCCGGCUUACACGGCCCCCCGCACC
Molecule: RNase P RNA, 348 nt
Filed under: Jannaschia aquimarina
Lineage: Bacteria; Pseudomonadati; Pseudomonadota; Alphaproteobacteria; Rhodobacterales; Roseobacteraceae
Description: Jannaschia sp. GSW-M26 Bacterial RNase P class A
Rfam family: Bacterial RNase P class A
About the family: Ribonuclease P (RNase P) is a ubiquitous endoribonuclease, found in archaea, bacteria and eukarya as well as chloroplasts and mitochondria.
Source: Rfam by way of RNAcentral